This 252-nucleotide ribosomal RNA is filed under the name uncultured bacterium. Its description in RNAcentral is "partial 16S ribosomal RNA". It matches the Rfam family "Bacterial small subunit ribosomal RNA", at positions 524 to 776 of the family's 1533-position model. The record is from RNAcentral.
UACGUAGGGGGCAAGCGUUGUCCGGAAUUAUUGGGCGUAAAGAGCUCGUAGGUGGUUUGUCGCGUCGAAUGUGAAACCCGGGGCUCAACCCCGGGCCUGCAUUCGAUACGGGCAGACUAGAGUUCGGUAGGGGAGUCUGGAAUUCCUGGUGUAGCGGUGAAAUGCGCAGAUAUCAGGAGGAACACCGGUGGCGAAGGCGGGACUCUGGGCCGAUACUGACGCUGAGGAGCGAAAGCGUGGGGAGCAAACAGG